GAUGAAGAACGCAGCGAAAUGCGAUAAGUAAUGUGAAUUGCAGAAUUCAGUGAAUCAUCGAAUCUUUGAACGCACAUUGCGCCCGCCAGUAUUCUGGCGGGCAUGCCUGUCUGAGCGUCAUUUCAACCCUCAUGCCCCUAGGGCGUGGUGUUGGGGAUCGGCCAAAGCCCGCGAGGGACGGCCGGCCCCUAAAUCUAGUGGCGGACCCGUCGUGGCCUCCUCUGCGAAGUAGUGAUAUUCCGCAUCGGAGAGCGAUGAGCCCCUGCCGUUAAACCCCCAACUUUCCAAGGUUGACCUCGGAUCAGGUAGGGAUACCCGCUGAACUUAAGCAUAUCAAUAAGCGGAGG
RNAcentral lists this unclassified non-coding RNA (347 nucleotides) under soil metagenome. RNAcentral describes it as "partial contains 5.8S ribosomal RNA, internal transcribed spacer 2, and large subunit ribosomal RNA". The stretch from base 1 to 120 matches the Rfam family "5.8S ribosomal RNA", at positions 35 to 154 of the family's 154-position model. The record is from RNAcentral.